UACAGAGGUCCCCCAAGCGUUGUUCGGAUUCACUGGGCGUAAAGGGUGCGUAGGUGGUCGGGUAAGUCUGAUGUGAAAUCUCCGAGCUUAACUCGGAAACUGCAUCGGAUACUAUUCGGCUUGAGGGUUGGAGGGGGCGUGGAAUACUUGGUGUAGCAGUGAAAUGCGUGAUAUCAAGUGGAACACCAGUGGCGAAGGCGAGUCCCUGGACAACUCCUGACACUGAGGCACGAAAGCUAGGGGAGCGAAAC
This 251-nucleotide ribosomal RNA is filed under the name uncultured archaeon. RNAcentral's name for it is "partial 16S ribosomal RNA". It matches the Rfam family "Bacterial small subunit ribosomal RNA", at positions 524 to 774 of the family's 1533-position model. The record is from RNAcentral.